CAGGGUCUUGCGACUGCCCAAACCAACCGUGAACCUUUCAUAACAAAAUGCUCUGGCGGGCCGCUCGCUGGGGGAGCCGAGGGCCUGCCUUUUGUAGGCCGGUCCGCCGAAGCAUGAACCAAAACCAAAAAAAUUCUGAAAAUUUCUGAGAAGCAACUUUCUGAAAAGAAAAAAAUGUCA
This 180-nucleotide unclassified non-coding RNA is filed under the name uncultured Sordariomycetes. RNAcentral's name for it is "sequence contains ITS1". The record is from RNAcentral. Lineage: Eukaryota; Fungi; Ascomycota; Sordariomycetes.